This 28-nucleotide non-coding RNA is filed under the name Homo sapiens (human). The record is from RNAcentral. Lineage: Eukaryota; Metazoa; Chordata; Mammalia; Primates; Hominidae.
UCUCAUGUUCUGUGAAUGCUACCAAUGC